Non-coding RNA from Sus scrofa (pig), 9976 nucleotides. NCBI's taxonomy places the organism in Eukaryota, Metazoa, Chordata, Mammalia, Artiodactyla, Suidae. The record is from RefSeq and is a predicted model, not a curated record.
AGCCAUGGCAACACUGGAUCCGAGUCACCUACACCGCAGCUCAUGAUAAUGCUAGAUACUUAACCCACUGAGCCACAAGGAAAACUCCAAUAAGCAUUUAUUUUACCUGAAUAAAUGCCUGUUACAGAAAUGAGUAUAAUGAAGACACCAUGGGAACAAGCAUGAUAGAAGAUUAGACCAGAGAGAAAUUGUUUUACGAGAGAAAAAACUAUAAAGUUUUGAAUAGAAAAAGGAAAUUGCCAGAGAGAAAAAUAUUUACACAAUGGUGCAGGUUUAAAAUGCCCACAAGAAUAUUUAAGGUGUGAUACAAAAAAGAGGGUUUGUGAAUAAUUCUGAGAUUCUAUGUCCAUAGACGGAUGAAUGGACAAACAAAAUGUAGCAUAUACAUAAAAUGAAAUACUAUUCAUCCUUAAAAUGGAAGGAAAUCCUAUUGGAUGCUACAACAUAGAUGAACCUUGAGGAUAUUAUGUUAAAUAAUUCAGUCACAGAAAGACAAAGAUUGUAUGAUUCCAAUUAUAUGAGGUAUGUAAAGAAGUGAAAUUCAUAGAAACUAAAAGUAGAAUGGUGGUGACCAGGGGCUGGGGGUGGGGAGGGUGAAAAGGGAAGUUGUUUAAUGGGUCUAGAGUUUCAGAUUUGCCAGAGGAAAACUCUGAAGGUAUUUUUCACAACAGUGCAAAUAUACUGAAUACUACUGCCCAUUUAAACUAUAUGCAUCUGUAUCAUCUUAUAGCUAAGAUGUAAAUUUUGCUGUGUUUUUUAACUACAAUAAAAAAAAAAUUACCCAAGUCUUUAGUUUGGCCUAUAAGGCCCAGUGCUACCUGUGUGACAUCCUUUCUUACCAGUCUAUCCCUUGGAUGCUCCCUAAGGACCACGGUGCAUCUGUAUUGGUCUUCAGAUACACCUAGCACACUCCUGCCCUGGGCCUUUACAAUGGCUUUUCUGCUUUUCCCGAUUUAUUUGUAUUAAUUCAUCCCUACUUCAAGUCCUGGUAAAAUGUGACCUCCUCAGAAAGCUUUUCCCUGAUCAUCUAGUAUUCAAUCCCUUACCCUGGAUGAUUUUUCUUUGUGGCACUUCCCACCAUCUGACAUAUAGAUGUAUUUGUUUAUUUUCUUUUUUCCCAGUGGGAACAUAGGUCUCAUUAAAAUAAGGGCUUUAUCUGUUUUAUUGCUUAUUCAUUGGUUUAGACCCAAGUUUGGUAGCAGUGCGUGGUAUAUGAGAGACAUUUAUUUAAUAUUUGUUAAAUACAUAGGUAAAUGAAAAGUCAUUUCUACACCUAGAAUAGGCGAUAAUAAUUGAGCCUUAUAAAUUGAAAUGUUCUUCAUAAUUAUUAUGAAUGUCUUGCAUUGGAACCUCCAAUUCUUUCAUUUUCUACUGGUGUUCAUAGUAUGAGACUCACCACCAUGCAUUACGGUACCUAUCUAGCUCUGCCAACAACAAUUGCCUUAAAAUCAGUUACCAAAACAAUCCAGGAAUGAACUGAUAUCUAGGUAAUGGAUUAUGUCCACUGUGAGACGUGAUGCAAAUCCUCUCCUUCUCAGCCUCCCAAUCUCCAACACCCCUUCUAACAAAAUACCCUACAAAGGGAACAAUGCUUUCAUUCAAAACAAUUGGGAAUAAGAUUUAAUCUUGGAAGAGUCUUGGCCUUUAACUCACAUUCACAAGAAUGAGGGUAAGAGAAGACCAAGGAUGAAGAUAGGUUUGGAUGGAAAUAUGAGACUUGCACUUAAACAUUUUAUAAGUGAAAAUAGAGAGGUUCUAGUUUGAAAACAAAAGACAAGUUGGAUUUUUUAAAAUGUGUUUCACAGUUUCUAAUAACUUCUCUUCUAUAGAAAUCUACUUUGAAAACCUAACAUUGUUCUUAAUAUUCUUUAUAAUUUAAAAGUUGACAUUAACAGAUGUAUUAUAAUAAUCUUUUAAAUGCAAGAGUAGCUGUAUUUCUAAACUGAAUGAUUUGGAACAUAUUUUGCAGAAAUAAAUAUUUGCUUUUGCUUUUGAACUCAAGUAAGUUCAAUUCACUUUGCAAACCUCUUUCAUGUUUCCAGUUCUUAGCUCUAGACAUAAUACCCUCCACAGAUGGUGGAUGUCAUUUGAUACUGGCCUUUUCUAGCAAAUUCACAUAUGUCAGCAAAUGAGCCUAAAACAACUCCAGGUUUCAAAUGCAAAACAUUUGUAAAUUGCACUGAUUCAUAAUCAGGACAACAUAAUAAACUACAAUCUAGUCAUUCUCAGUGGGCCUUAUUCAGCAGAAAAAAAAAGCCAUAGAAUGGAAGCCAAGAGAGGAUGUUGAGUUUGGCUCUUCCAAUGCUAGGCUUUUGGAAAUUCAAUUACUUGCCUGUGGCAAGUACUGAAAUGACAGCCUUGGAGAAUAAAAUCCCUCAUCACGUUAGAACACAGAAUAAAAGGCCAGACUUGCGUGUUAUCACAAAGGCCCACCGAAAUACUUAAUUCCCAGGAACCUCCAUUUUCUUACCAGAAAUAAACACUUGGACGGUCAACACGCUAUGGCUUCUGCCAACCCACUGCCCACCCCCCAGUUUGUCUUGGUAAUUAAACAUCAAGUACCAUUCAUAUUUUAGUAUCAAUCAAUUCAAAUUGUGGUAUAGGAAGGGUUGUAUAAAGACAGAACAUUUCUACUGCUGUCAUUAUUUUUAAGUAUAAGGUUAUUUCUUCUACCCUGAGAGAAGCGAGGGGACACAAAGUCAUAUAACCCAGAACCAGGAUGGCACUUUAAAGAAGUUAGUUUAACUCAAAUUUCGAUGGGGUCUUGUUAAAAAAAAAAAAAAAGUCUGAUCAGAAAAGAGCAUAAACAAGGAAAAAGAUUGAUAUGAUUCUGAGACACUGUCAUAUGGAAAUCAUAUACAUGUGAAACAUCAAAUAAAAUAUUUAGGAAAAUUAAAGUGCCUAAAACCUUGGAUAUUGUCUAGAGCCUUUUUUAUUUUUUAUUUUUUUGUCUUUUUGUCUUUUCUAGAGCCUUUUUUAUAUUUUCAGAGAAUAACUCUCUGCUGUGUUCAUUCUGGAGAAACAAACAGGUCAAUCGGUUCUGCCAUUGCCUUUUGAGAAUUUAAUUAGAGUAAAACCAAGCUAAAAACAAACGAAAAAAAAAGCCAAUAACCUAUUGAACACAUCUGAUGAAUCUAAAUCACGUAGAGUUAGACAAUAUCAAGUUGAUAUUUCACCCUUGGCAGUCAUAAAUGGUCUGCCAACAGAAGACAUAAAGCUGUGAGUGACCAUCUUUCCAUAAAAGUAGAGGCUUUGUGAUUUUAUAAACCCCCAAUCCCCAAGACUCUUCAAUCCUAGGACUUUGUUUAGUGACCGCAAAAGCCUGAGGUAUCCCUCUCUUCUGUUUUUAUCUAACACCCUGCAAUUCUGGGCUAUCCUCUACAGUCUCUCAAUUGCUGGAUGAUUUUUUUUUCCCCUGCAAAGUAAAUGCAGAUGUACUGCAGCUGCAAAUAUUACAGUCUGAGCAUUUCCAUCAAGAAACUUUUUUGAGUUCUAAAAUACAAGCACCCCUGAAAAUUUUAUAAAUAGGCGGGUUGACACAUGAAAGACAUAAGAAAAGACCCUAUUCAGUGUGCAAAUAGAAGUCUUUACUAUUUUUUGUUUUAUUCCAUCCUGUGCACACCAUGUCAAUGUGUUUCUUUUUUUACAUAAAAUAAAUUAAAAAUUAUUCCAAUUUAACCAUACCAGGCUUAUUACUUAAGGUAUCAAUUUUCUAAUCAUUGCUUGAGAAAAAGAACUACAAGUGGAAUAAAUAAUCUAAAUAGUGUCAGUUUAAUCUGAUGAAACUGGGUAAAUUUGACUUUGUGAUAUGUUAAUCAUUUUAUAUUUUAGAUGAUUUGUUUAUACGCAUCUUAUUUUGGAAUGAUUUGAGGCAGGUAAAAAAAGAUGCGGGCAAUCUAGGAAGACAAACUUUUGUUAAAAAGUAAAAGAAACGUAAUUGUGGGGAAAUGAGCAGACAAUUAAAAUGAGUCUCAGCGUGAUGGCCACAAAUAACACAGGCAGUGAAACCCUAUCCACUCAUGGGAGAAGGGCCAGGAUGUUGAUCUCCGUCCCAUGCUUGCUAAUACGUGACAGGAACUAGAAAUCAGAAUCACAGUUUUUGAAAGUCAAAAGCAAACCAGUUGAUUAAGACACACAUAAAUAUCCCUUAUAAUGAGACAAGAGAGAAAUUACUGUGUCUUUAUAGAAAGAUGCUGUCAAAUCUAUUAACAAAAGCCCCUUUUACCAUCCUUCAGAUAAACACAGUGGAAUGUGUAAUGGCACUGCCUCUAUGUAACAUACCCUUACAUAAGGUGAUGGCAUUACAACAAAGCACAGUUGAGUAAAAACCAUCUCUCCUCGGGAUAGUAUCUUGUAGUCCACACAGAAUUCUCUUUGAGAGUCUGGCUUAAUUCAGAGGGGGAUUUUAUUGCAAAGGCAACGCACAAGCAAUAAAUAUAUGUUUCAUGGCAUUUUUUUCUUCUUAGAAGCUAACACAUAUUAAAAUUGAGCCUCUGAUCGCAUUCUAGGCUAUAAGCUUCUUGUGAACAAAAACAAAACUGUGUCCUCAGUUCUACUAAAGCAUCUGACACACAGUAGGGAAGUGAACAUUUGUUCAAUACUGAAUGGAGGCAUAAUUUUCAGAAAUUUCCACAAUUAUCACUCUUCUCACUCAAGCAUUUCAGGAUUUUCUCCCUGACCAGCACCUGGAGAGUGAGUAAUAUGUAUGCUAGAUCCAUGUGGACUCUUUGCCUUUUCCUCUCUUAACUCUCUGAUGCUGGCUGAGUUACUUCUCUGAAGCAUGUGCACAAUAAUUCAAGCUUCUCAUGGCUUCUAUGGAGACUGAGAUAAAGGCAUCUAGAACUGUGCCAGAAACAGGUAGGCAAUACAUGUCAGCAUCCUGUUUGUGUUCAGUUAAUGUCUUUCCUCAGUGGCUUCAUAACAAAUGCCCAUAUGCUCCUGAAGCCUAGGAAUGUGACGCGGAAGAACACAUACUUCCUAUGUAAAAUUUCAAUGCAACAGAAUAAUGUACGUGCUCUGCCAUGAAGUUGGUCUUGUUUCUCUUUGCUUGAUCCUUAUGAUACUCUGUAACUCAUCAGUUCCUAAGUAGGACAAACAUGGUAGAUAAACAUACCUGGUACCAAAAGAUCAUAUAAAAACUUUCAGCAAUUGAAGUUUGGGUGGAGGAAGUUGGGGGGUAGAGGGCAGGAAACGGUCUUAAUAUUAGUGUCCCCAUUAGAAGAAAGCUACCCCUAAUUUAGACAAUUGAUUCUCAGUUUGUAGUUUUUAUCAUAUAAAAAUUAAAAUAAAUUUUAUAGAAAUAUUUGAUGUUUUUCCACAAUGAAUGUCUCAAUGGUCCAUUUUUGUUCCCUUUUCUAUAUUGAGGUACUAUUAAGCUGAACCUGCUUUGAAGUGUUCCUCAGAGAUGAUCAAUGAGAAAAUAUCCCCUGUUGUGUGAAGUCAAUCCUUUGACAGUUCUUGUUCACAUACUUUUAAUGUUAAAUAGUGUAUGCCAAAUUUAUUCAAAUAUACGUAUCACUAUCCUUAUUUUCCUAUUUUAGUUUCAGCUUUUUUUUAACUAAAAAUAGUGCAUUUCAAGGUUUUCUACUUAAUUAUGUGCUUUUUAAAGAUGAUAAAAUAUAAUGUGCUUGAAAUUAUGCUAUUUCCAUGAAUAGAGAACCUUUCUAAGGGUAGCUAAAACAUCAAGCAAUUGAAAUAAUGCCAUCCCUCCACAUCAUUCGAUGUCCUGUUAAAAGAACCUGGAAGCACAAUCAAAGGAAUCUUAUUAUUAGAAAUCAGAAAAAAACAUGGUCCUAGAACCUUAGAUCAGUCAUGCGUCACCCAAUAACAAAGUCAAGGAAGGCAUUACACAUUGUCUACUGCAGGCUGAGCAAUCAGGGAAGCAGACCCUACACUGAAUAUUAGUCUGGAGAAUGAUUAUUAGGGAGACUUUCUCAGAUUAGCACCUGCAGAGAGAAAGGGAUACAAAGGAAACAGAUUUUGGCAGAGAAAGAUGUUGCUCUUGGAUGCGGUCAUAAGGAAAGCCUUAAGCAACCAUGUGGGGGGCUUUGCACUGAGCAUGGCCCUGGAGAGCUUUUAAGAAUUUGAGUGAGGAAGCUGAGACUUUAUGUCUCCAUGUCAAGGGGGGCAUGACUGUGGGCAAGAUAAUUCCUCUCAACUGAGGCAAUUCUACAGAAGGCUGAUGACUGUGAGCUGGAUGUUGGAGGCACACCCAACAGCUGAAGGAGAAUAUCCUUUAUUCCUCAAGGAGAUCCUGGGCGGCAUAUCAUAGCAUCUACUACUAUACUAUUUUUUCCCUUACAUUUUUGCUAAAGCCACUUUUUAAUAAACAUAUUUAUGUAAACCCUUAAAAACCAUCAUUAAUAUCUCUAUGAAAGAAAUGAUAAAAUAAGCUGUUUGCAAAACAAAGCCACAAGCAUAGAAUUACAUUUUUUGAAGGCUUCAAUGACUAUAGGUAAUUGCCCAGCCAAAAUAUUUAACAGAUGGAGAGACUGAGGUAUUAGAAAAAGGGUUUUGUCCUGAGUCACAGUGUUGGUUAGUAGAGACUCAGAUCUCUCUGCUCCACCAUUCUUUACCCUAUACUAUCCUAUACCUAGUGUUUCCCAUUUGCUCUAUAAUGAAUCUGUUUCCUAGUAAUCCUAAAUUUAAAUGAUCUAUACAAGUUGGGGGAAAAUAAACAUAUAUACAAAAACCUUAAAUGUUUGAAAGAUAGGAUGCUAUAUUUUUAUGAAUUCCCAACCUUUCUAAGACUAUAUCCAUGCCUUCCAUCAUCUUCCUUAAUAAAGAGGGAUAUGUGAUAUUGGGGAAAUUAGAAUUUACCUCUUUUGGUUUCCCUGAGGUGUCAGAGCAGGAAAACUGCUAGAACCACAUUUAUUAGUUCUUGUACAUUGUACCAAUCUAAGGAAAUGCACUGUGAGGCCAUGCUAGAGCCACAUUUAACUGGAUUAUUAGAUAUGGAAGAAAACAGUAAGGUUGACCACACAAUAUUCCUUGUGGAUUUAAGCCCUCUAGAAGUUCUACCACAGGAGUUGUUUCUGGGUAUUGCAUAAAUGAAUUACCCAGGACACCUAAGGAUCUUUGCCAAAGAAUACAUUGUAGUGCACCUCAUCUUAGCCUAAGUAAUCAAUUUAGUUCUACUUUUAUAUCUGGUUUCAGUCUCUAAAAUCAAAACACUCAAGAAAAGAAAUGGAGGUCUAAUAAUUACGGCUAGUCUAACCUUACCAAAAAGAAACCAAAAAUUGAAAACAAUUGCAGAUCCCCCUGAAAUUAUGGAAUUUGAUUGAAAGUAUUUUCACCAUUGGCUGCUAACAAAGUUUCAGGAUGAACCAGUUGGGAGAUGGUAGGAUGUUCAUGGAUUAUGUCCCAUCCACUAUAUUGAACUCACCAGCCCAUGUCUCCACUCAAUCAAAUAACAAUGCGUGCUGAUAACCAAAGGUCAGGAUACUGUUGCCCGUGCUGGAACAUAGAAUACCUCCUAUGCAGACAAGUACAGGUACUGUCAGUGACGAUGCUGUUGCCUCUAAUGGUGUCCACCACAGUUGAUACUGACUAGCCGAAGGUGGAGCCAGAACCCAUUCAUACCAGAGAGCCUGACCAGUUACAACCUACAGAGCAGCUGGGAGAGAGAUGGAAAGUCUCUUUCAUGGCAUGAAAAUGAAGGUCCAGAAAUUGCACAUGAAACCUGCAAAUGAAUGUAUCUUCGAAACCGAGGAAGGAAAGGAGAUGAGUGAUCUGGGAGAUGUCGCAUAGAGGGAAUUGACAAAAACUGGAGAGAAUAAAGUUUGAAAAGGAAGAGCUGUCAAGGAGGACAACCAGGUUUCCCAUCUGAGAGACCAGGUAAUGACUGAAACUCAUGAACUGAGUAAAUGAUAUUCUACUGGAGAGGGAGAGGGUAGAGAGAUGAAUUCAAUUUUACUCAUAACAAAUGGCCAAGAUUUCACUGCUGUAAUACCAACACUAUCUCACCUGAAAUGAUUUCACUAUUUGGCUCCUAAAGAUAGCAGUGCAAAAAGGUUCCAAAUUUAUUUGUGUAUUUGAACAAUUAAGCUGUUUUUUAAAAAAAAAAUACACAAAGAAUCAUAUUAUGUAAAGGUAAAAGAACCAAAAAACAACAUCACCUGAACGAUUUAUCUAUAAUGUAUGGAUCUUACCCUAACAUAAGCCCCAAUGGAACAUUUCGGCUCAAUAAAAUCAGGACACUCCAGACAUAGUCUAAUAAUCCUUAGCUACUAUCAGACUGUUAUUAGCCUCAGGCUGAGCCCAUAAAUGCACAACAAAGUCAAGUAUGGUAAAUACAAAAGAUAAGUCUAAGAAAAAGAAAUCCCAAACAUUCUGGCUCAAUUAUAAAAUAUUUCAGACAAAAGCAGAAGUCAAAUAUAUUUCUUCUUGAGUGUCUCCCACAGAACACAGGUAAAUAGAUGACACUCUUGAAAUACCGCUUGAAUGUGUUUAUGAAUUAUCUAGAUAACUGAUUGUUUUCAUAUUUAUGCUGCUUACGUGAAAUGUAGGUUAUUAAAGUGUUCUGUGUGUGUAUCUAAACAAUAUCACAUGUUCGUGUCUCCUCACUAUGGUCAUUCACACAUUUAUGAAUCUGUGAAUCUAUAUAUGACAAUUAAUGCUGACCCAGAAAGCUUUCCCUUUCUUGGCCCAAAGGGUACACUAAUUCGAUUCAAGGGAUCUAAUAUGUUGCAGGAAACAUUUUUGAAAAGAUUUCUCAACAUAAUUUGUUGCUUUGGCUAUCAUCAGACUUGGUUAAUCUAAAUCUUAGUUUGCAAUUUCAUUCUCUUGUGCAAAUGUGUCUAAAAACUCGAAAUGUAAUGCCACACUAUUUUCAACUGUCUGGUUACUGUUUAAAUAUAGCAGGCAAGAAAGCCAUGAAAAUAGACCAAUCAAACACAAAUGAACAGAGUCUGACUAAAUUCUUCAUCUUUAUUAAAAUACAUGUUUCAUUAUUUUCAAAUGAACUUUUUUUGCUGUUAAAAGAUAUUUUGUGAAAUUAUUUAUGAUGUUUUCAGUGAAAGGAUCUCCAUUUUAUACCUUCCACUUAUAAAGAGCCUAUAUUACGCAUAAAGUGAGGUUUAUCUCAAGGUUACUUUCCCGCUGAUAGACUGCUCACUGCUGACAACAGGUCAGUGACUCAUGAAACUACUAGGCUAGUUUUCACUUAAUACUCCAAUUAAGCGAAACAAUGCGAUGCAUCUACCUUGUUUUCAUGUUCCAUAAUGAUGCUAAUAUAGUGUGUGAAAAUCCACUAACGAGAUCCACCUGAAGAAAUGACUACCUCCCACAAAAAUGUCUGAUCAUGCCUUUAGUGAUAUUUUGUAAGCUUUAACGGAUCCCCAGAAUCCGACCCUGUAAAUAGCCAACCUGCCACUCAUUUACUGAGGAAAGUGGGUGAGAGUCAAUCUUUGACAAAGAUGAACAAAAAACAGCCAACUUCUUUUAGAUGUGAAAUGUAUUUUUCCUUGAACUCCAACUCUUUCAUAAAUAUUUCCUUUGACAGAUUUUUUUUCAUUCCCCUAUAUUUCUCUGUUUGUGGUUAAUGGUGCAGAACUAUCACUCUUUUAAAUGUCAAAUUAUCAUUUCUUAUUCAUACUUCUUGACAAUUGCUACCCUCUAAAUAUAUUAUUUAGAAUUAUUUGCAGAGUGUAGCAAAAUGGUAUAGCUGCUAUUCUGUUCAAAGUUUUAUACAAAGAUAAGUUUUCUUAAACCAAUUUUUGUUCUCAGUAUGGGGUACUGCAUUAUAACACACUGCUAGAAGAUUAUUAUGAAAUGUCAAACAUCUAUUAGAGCCUAUAUUGCUUUUCAAAAUAAUAUAUAUUUGUUAAACAUCUACUGUGAGUAUUGCACUAUAUUAUAUAUUAUAGCAGUACAUAGUCUGGAGAAGACAAGUUCCUGACCUUGAGGAGUCUGUCACCAAUCUCCUAGCUGGAUAACAAUAAAGGCAUAGUCUACUUAAAAAAAAAAAAAAAAAAAA